CUCGGGCUGCAGGACGUCUCACCCGCUUUCGGCCUCUCCAGAGCCAGGCUCCGCGGCUGGAGCAGCAGACGUCCCCUCCCCGGCCGGAGCGGCUGCUACCGCUACUACCGGCUUCGUUUCCCCUUCUUCUGCCGGUGUUGCAUUUGCAGCCACUGCCGGGCCGGGUCCUGCAUUCACUCCCGGGCCGGGUACGGUUCCCGCCGCCGCCAUCACUGCCGCCUCCCAGACUUCUCGCGAGAAUACUGUCUGCGUCUCGCGCGAGUUGCUCACUGGCCCUCUAACCUUCAAAUAGUAAAGAUUCUCAUUCCAGCAAGGAGCCAGAACCUGUGCCAUCAACAUCCGGCAUGAGUGAAAUGGCAGCUCGCCCUCUGUCUCCUAUUGCUGAUGACCCUGUAGCUCUACCAUCGCUCACCUCCACUCCCUCCUCCAGUCGGUAACUCUUCUUUUUUUAAAAAUAAAUUUAUUUAUUUUAUGUAUUUAUUUUUGGCUGUGUUGGGUCUUCGUUGCUGCACGCAGGCUUUCUCUAGUUGCAUUGAGCAGGGGCUGCUCUUUGUUCCGGUGUGCGGGCUUCUCACUGCGGUGGCUUCUCUGGUUGCCGAGCAUGGGCUCUAGGCCCACGGGCUUCAGUAGUUGUGGCUUGCGGGCUUAGCUGCUCCGUGGCAUGAGGGAUCUUCCCGGACCAGGGCUCGAACCCAUGUCCCCUGCAUUGGCAGGCAGAUUCUUAACCACUGCGCCACCAGGGAAGCCCCUCAGUAACGCUUCUUGUCUGUUCAUUCAGCGCCAGCCUGUGUCCCAGCUGUUGUACUGCACUACUGUACUUUUCAGGAUACUGUACUGUGAGAUUAAAAAUGGUUUUUUAAUUUUUUGUUUGCUUUUUAUGUAUUAUUUGUGUGAAAAGUAUUAUAAACCUAUUACAGUACAGCACUAUAUAGAUGAUUGUGUUAGUUGGGUACCUAGGCUAACUUUGUUGGACUUAUGAACAAAUUGGACUUACGAAUGCACUCUCAAAUGGAACUUGUUCGUAUGUAGGGGACUUACUGUAAUAAUGAUCUUAAGAGAACAAAAGGACAAACCUAUCAGGCAAGAGAAUUAACAAUGGCAACGAUAACAAAUCAGUCGUAGACUCCCAGUUCUACUUCAAUGGUAAAGACUAGCGGAAAGCACUGUCUUGAGCUAUUUUGCAGAAUUUAAAUCCCUCCUCAAGUGCUCAAUCACCAGAUCAACUGGAACCUAAGGGGUGAUGAUGUUGACCUUUUCUGACCCUCCUGACUUCAAUCAACUAAAGCUUGGACUGCCACUGCUCAAGCCCCUUCAAGAACAUGCACGUACCCUUAGGUUAAAACUUUCCCAAUUUUGCUGUUUGGAAACACUACUUUGAGAAAGAUCCCUGGUGUUCUCUUUACUUGAUACAAGUAAUAAAUCCUUCCUUCUUCUUA
This is a long non-coding RNA of Lagenorhynchus albirostris (white-beaked dolphin), 1436 nucleotides long. RefSeq lists it as uncharacterized. The transcript has 2 exons. NCBI's taxonomy places the organism in Eukaryota, Metazoa, Chordata, Mammalia, Artiodactyla, Delphinidae. The record is from RefSeq and is a predicted model, not a curated record.